GCCAGCAGCCGCGGUAAUACCCGUCGCCCGAGUGGUGACCAUUAUUAUUGAGUCUAAAGCGUUCGUAGCUGGUCUGAAUAGUUCGUGCUUAAAUCGUUCAGUUUAACUGGACGACAUGGUAUGAAUACUUUCAGACUAGAAGCCGGGAGGGGGAAUGGGAACUUUCUAGGUAGGAGUAAAAUCCUUUAAUCUGGAAAAGACCACCAGUGGCGAAGGCGCAUUCCCAGAACGGACCCGACGGUGAGGGACGAAGGCUAGGAGAACGAACCGGAUUAGAUACCCGGGUAGCCCUAGCAGUAAACGCUGCUUACUAUACGUUGCAUUUCCUUGAGGAAAUGCAGUGUGACAGCGAAGGCGUUAAGUAAGCCACUUGGGGAGUAUAAUCGCAAGGUCGAAACUUAAAGGAAUUGGCGGGGGAGCACAAAAACGGGUGAAAUUUGCGGUUCAAUUGGAUUCAACUCCGGGAAUCUUACCAGAAGCGACAGCAAGAUGAAGGCCAGUCUAAAGAACUUGCCUAAUGCGCUGAAAGGUGUUGCAUGGCCAUCAUCAGUUAGUAUCUUGAGACGUCCCGUUAAGUCGGGUAACUAACAAGACCCUCUUCCAUAUUUGCUAACGUGUAAUCCGUUAUGAACGAGCAAAAUAUGGAGACUGCUUUCGAAAGA
Molecule: ribosomal RNA, 662 nt
Filed under: uncultured bacterium
Lineage: Bacteria
Description: bacterial SSU rRNA
Rfam family: Archaeal small subunit ribosomal RNA
Source: RNAcentral